Musa acuminata AAA Group (dessert banana) is the source of this 3738-nucleotide RNA transcript. It is a transcript of the gene named ABC transporter B family member 28-like, with no coding region annotated. The record is from RefSeq and is a predicted model, not a curated record. The transcript has 22 exons. NCBI's taxonomy places the organism in Eukaryota, Viridiplantae, Streptophyta, Magnoliopsida, Zingiberales, Musaceae.
AUUAGCCCCCCGAAGUCUCAAGAACCACACACACGCAGACAGCAGCGGAGAAGCCCACGCCGCCGUCCCUGCUCUCUCUCCUCUCCUCUCCAAUGGCCGCCGCCUCCACCUCUCUUCUUCAAUCCCUCUUCUCUCCCUUCCCAUUCCCUAGUCGGAUGCUCACCUCCUCCUCCAUCUCCGGCCGAUGCCCCGCCGCGCUCCUCGUCCGUCGCCCGCAUCGGACGGCUCGAAACCCUCCCUCGCACGUCACCGGCGUGCGGAGGAGGAGGAGCGGAGGCCAUGCUCGUGCCGCCUAUGUCUCCGCCCCUGCAGCCGACCCCGAUCCCGUCGCCAAGGAUGAAAGUCCCGCGGCGGACGUCUUGUCCCUGCCGCCUGUUGCCAUUAGCUGGAGCGUCAUCUGGUCUCUCCUCUCCCGUCACAAGAUUCGGAUGGCCGUCUCGCUCGCCUCUCUAGUUGGAUGCACUUCUUGUACCCUCGCGAUGCCUAUCUUCUCUGGGAAGUUCUUUCAGACACUUACAGGGACAGUUUCUGAGCCUUUAUGGAGACUUCUAUCUCAGAUUGCCUUUUUGUAUUCUUUGGAACCCAUCUUUACUAUAAUCUUCGUCACCAACAUGACCAUUAUAUGGGAGUCUGUGAUGGCAAAUCUAAGAGGCCAGAUAUUUAGACAGAUAUUGAUUCAAAAGGUGGAGUUUUUUGACCGUCAUAAGGUUGGUGAAUUGACUGGGUUGUUGACAUCUGACUUGGGUUCUUUAAAGGAUAUUGUCAAUGAGAAUAUUUCAAGAGAUCGUGGUCUGAGAGCACUCUCUGAGGUUGUUGGUACGAUAUGCAUACUUUUCACACUCUCGACACAGUUGGCUCCUAUCUUAGCGUUGCUGAUGGUGGUUAUAUCUGUUUUAGUAGCUGUGUUUAAGCGGUCAACUGUUCCUGUCUUUAUAUCUCAUGGAAUGGUGCAAGCGAGCAUAUCAGACUGUGCAACUGAAACAUUUUCUGCAAUUCGUACUGUUAGAUCUUUUGCUGGUGAGAAGCGACAGUUCUCCAUCUUCAGAAAUUUGGUACUUGCUUACCAGAACAAUGGCAUAAAACUUGGUACUUUGAAGUCUGCAAAUGAGUCCUUGACAAGGACAGUAGUCUACAUUUCUCUGAUGGCACUUUAUUGUCUUGGUGGAAGCAAAGUCAAGGCGGGUGAACUGUCUGUUGGAACUAUGGUUUCUUUUAUUGGUUACACUUUCACGCUAACUUUUGCGGUUCAAGGGGGUGUCAACACUCUCGGUGAUCUCCGCCGGACUUUUGCUGCUGCUGAAAGAAUUAAUUCUAUUCUUUCUCCAGCGGAAAUUGACAUGUCACUUGCAUAUGGUUUAGAGAAAGAACUCCAAACAACUGAAGUAGAUAUCAAUCUUGGUUUGAAUCAUGAAGACGUUUAUCAUAAGAAGAAACAAAGCAAGCAUUACAUGUUAGCACUGAGAUCAGCAAGUGAUGGGUGUAAUCUAGCUUGGUCAGGUGACAUCUGUCUAGAAGAUAUAUACUUCUCUUAUCCUUUAAGGUCUGAUGUGGAGGUCUUGAGUGGUCUGAAUCUGACCCUCGAAUGUGGAAAGAUAACAGCACUAGUGGGACCCAGUGGUGCUGGAAAAAGUACAAUAGUACAACUUCUGGCACGCUUUUAUGAGCCAACCGGGGGUCGGAUCACUGUAGCAGGAGAAGAUAUCAGAACUUUUGAUAGGAGGGAAUGGGCCCGGGUUGUGUCUCUAGUGAAUCAGGAACCAGUUCUAUUUUCAGUAUCAAUUGGAGAAAAUAUUGCAUAUGGGCUUCCUGAUGAGACUGUCUCCAAGGAUGAUAUAAUUAAGGCAGCUAAAGCUGCCAAUGCUCAUGAAUUCAUAAUCUCACUUCCUCAGGGUUAUGACACACUAGUUGGUGAACGUGGAAGCCUAUUAAGUGGUGGACAGAGACAGAGGAUUGCUAUAGCACGAGCUCUUCUUAAGAAUGCUCCAAUUUUAAUACUUGAUGAGGCCACCAGUGCUCUGGAUGCAACUAGUGAGUCCCUAGUGCAGCAGGCUCUCGAUCACUUGAUGAAAGGAAGGACAUCCUUGGUGAUUGCCCAUAGAUUAAGUACUGUACAAAAUGCAAAUCAAAUUGCUCUUUGCUCAGGCGGUAGGAUAGCAGAACUAGGAACCCACCUUGAGUUGUUGGCAAAGAAAGGUCAAUACGCCUCAUUGGUUGGAACACAGCGCCUUGCGUUUGAAUGAGUGUCUCAUAUUUCUGUCAGAUAUACAACGUAGCCGUCUAGCAACUUGUGCAAGCAAACAAGAAUCGGGUUUUGAUUCAUGCUGGAACUUGUUAGUGGAAAGAUCUGCUUCUAUCACCAAAUCAUGGAAGGAUAGUUGGGUGUCUGCACAUUUGCAAACAGAAGGAUAAGUAUAAGAAAUUUGAUGAAUGUUGUCGCCAUAUACGAAUCUGCGUUAUCCUAAAUGGAUUGCUGUUAAGAUGAGCAGGCAGUGUACAUGAGGCUCACCAAGAUCAAACCCACAGUAGUAGUUCGAUCAUUUACCGUCAAAAUGGAAAAUAGAAGUUGAUGGAGGCAUUCGUCCACUGUCCGUAGACAGUAGCAAUCUUAGCCGUUCAAAUCUAUGCAACAAUCUUGAUCGUCCUUUUGCAGUGAGUUGACUAAUGGCGAAAUCAGUGCUGUCUAUGAAAAAGCAACCUCGACUCAUACAUACUUCGAUCACAAUCAUUGUCCUUUUGGGCUCGAUCUUUUGUGCAACCGAACGAGCCUCUUUCAUGGUUUUCCAUCGUUCGGGACCACGGCCGUCAACCAAUGAGAGGAGUUCCUUUCCUGUUCGGUGGCGCGAUCGAGACACAGUUAUUGCACGCUCAGGAUGGGUGGGCAACAUUUCUCUUUCGUUUGGCGCAGACGCAAGCUGAUAGGGGAACUCAACGCUCACCAUCAGGCGCUUAACGGGUCCGAUGGGUGGACGAUCCGGCGCCGCUCGUUCCCGGAUCCGUGGACCCGAACGAUGGUCUCCGAACCUAACGGUUUACCUACCGAUGGCGACGACCCUGAAGCCGCCCUUCGUUCGAGACCUUUUUUCCCACUUUCUUUUCCUUCCUUUCGUCUUUCUUUUAUUCCCCCGCCUCCGUCUCGCUCGAAACCCUCGUCCCUCCCUCUCCCCCGCAUGCCUCUGUAGUGUUCCAAGAUCCCCUCCUGCUCCCCCCCCCCGAUCCCGGCAGAUCGCCGAAACCCCCGAUUUCAUGGCCGCCGCGCUCGAUCCAGCGCGGGGAGCGCUUGGGCUGUUGGUUCUUUUCGCCCUGAUUUCGCCCUUGGCUAGGGUCGGUGUGUUCUCCAGGCCGGACAAGGAGACGAGAGAGAAGUUCUACGGGAAUCUGGUGAAGGGGGAGUCUCGCAAUAGCUCUGGCGAGGGGAGCAUCGCUGAGAUCUUCGAUCGCGUGCUCGAGAAGGAGUUCUCCGAAAAUGACGCGCCCGAAGAAAGGAGACAGACAGAGAUGGGUGAGAGAGGCUAGACGAGUAAGGGGGAAGAAGAAAAAGAUACAGGAGCAAAUAGAAGGAAAGAGAAUGAUGCAGCGGCAAGGGGAAAAAGGAGAUGCUGAGAGUUUUUUUUUGUAGAAAAUUGUCCUGAUCAAAGUAGCUUCAACAACUCUGUGGCGGAUCAUCAAGUAGGCAGUUCUGGAGACCGUUGCUAUAAUUACUCAUGACAAGUCAAAGAAAAAUGACACACACGAAGCGAA